RNAcentral lists this ribosomal RNA (510 nucleotides) under uncultured soil bacterium. RNAcentral's name for it is "bacterial SSU rRNA". It matches the Rfam family "Bacterial small subunit ribosomal RNA", at positions 19 to 523 of the family's 1533-position model. The record is from RNAcentral.
CUGGCUCAAAUUGAACGCUGUCUGCAGACCUAACACAUGCAAGUCGAGCGGUACAGCGAAGCUUGCGUCUCUUGAACGCGGCGGACGGGUGAGUAAUGCCAAGGAAUCGCCUGACAGUAGGGGAUCACGGUCGGCAACAGUGGCCAAUACCGCAUACGUCCUACGGGAGAAACCAGGGGACCUUCGGGCCUUGCGCUAUCAGAUGAGCCUAGGUCGGAUUAGCUAGUUGGUGAGGUAAUGGCUCCCCAAGGCGACGAUCCGUAACUGGUCUGAGAGGAUGAUCAGUCCCACUGGAACGGAGACACGGUCCAGACUCCUACGGGAGGCAGCAGUGGGGAAUAUUGGACAAUGGGCGAAAGCCUGAUCCAGCCAUGCCGCGUGUGUGAAGAAGGUCUUCGGAUUGUAAAGCUCUUUCGCAAGGGAAGAAACGAUUUAGACGAAUAAUCUAAGUUAAUGACGGUGCCUUGAUAAGCCCCCCCCAAGGUAACUCCGUGCCAGCAGCCGCGGUAA